CGAUUGGGGAGUCUGGACCUCGAGGA
Molecule: small RNA, 26 nt
Filed under: Bombyx mori (domestic silkworm)
Lineage: Eukaryota; Metazoa; Arthropoda; Insecta; Lepidoptera; Bombycidae
Description: ovarian small RNA-14291
Source: RNAcentral